Molecule: ribosomal RNA, 253 nt
Filed under: uncultured bacterium
Lineage: Bacteria
Description: partial 16S ribosomal RNA
Rfam family: Bacterial small subunit ribosomal RNA
Source: RNAcentral
UACGUAGGGUGCGAGCGUUAAUCGGAAUUACUGGGCGUAAAGCGUGCGCAGGCGGUCCGCAAAGUCUGAUGUGAAAGCCCCGGGCUCAACCUGGGAACUGCAUUGGAAACUAACGGGCUCGAGUGUGGCAGAGGGGGGUGGAAUUCCACGUGUAGCAGUGAAAUGCGUAGAGAUGUGGAGGAACACCGAUGGCGAAGGCAGCCCCCUGGGCUAACACUGACGCUCAAGUGCGAAAGCGUGGGGAGCAAACAGG